RNAcentral lists this ribosomal RNA (254 nucleotides) under uncultured bacterium. RNAcentral describes it as "partial 16S ribosomal RNA". It matches the Rfam family "Bacterial small subunit ribosomal RNA", at positions 524 to 776 of the family's 1533-position model. The record is from RNAcentral.
CACGUAGGGCGCAAGCGUUGUCCGGAAUUAUUGGGCGUAAAGAGCUCGUAGGCGGUCUGUUGCGUCCGCUGUGAAAACUCGGGGCUUAACCCCGAGCCUGCAGUGGAUACGGGCAGACUAGAGGUAGGUAGGGGAGAAUGGAAUUCCCGGUGUAGCGGUGAAAAUGCGCAGAUAUCGGGAGGAACACCAAUUGCGAAGGCAGCUCGCUGGGACGUUACUGACGCUGAGACGCGAAAGCGUGGGGAGCAAACAGG